Non-coding RNA from Gossypium hirsutum (cotton), 107 nucleotides. The record is from Rfam. Lineage: Eukaryota; Viridiplantae; Streptophyta; Magnoliopsida; Malvales; Malvaceae.
AAUCCAUGCAUCGAACAUUUCCUAAUUAACUCCUUAAAUUGCUCCCACGCUUCAUAUAGUGUUUCAUCUUCAAAUUGCCAAAAGGAUGUAAUAUCAUUUCUUAACUU